RNAcentral lists this ribosomal RNA (340 nucleotides) under uncultured bacterium. Its description in RNAcentral is "bacterial SSU rRNA". It matches the Rfam family "Bacterial small subunit ribosomal RNA", at positions 354 to 706 of the family's 1533-position model. The record is from RNAcentral.
UGGGGGAAUAUUGGGGCAAUGGGGCGAAAGCCUGACCCAGCAACGCCGCGUGAGGGAAGAAGGGUUUCGGCUCGUAAACCUCUGUCCUAUGGGACGAAGAAGAUGACGGUACCAUAGGAGGAAGCCCCGGCUAACUACGUGCCAGCAGCCGCGGUAAUACGUAGGGGGCGAGCGUUGUCCGGAAUGAUUGGGCGUAAAGGGCGCGUAGGCGGCCCGUUAAGUCUGGAGUGAAAGUCCUGCUUUCAAGGUGGGAAUUGCUUUGGAUACUGAUGGGCUGGAGUGCAGGAGAGGAAAGCGGAAUUACCGGUGUAGCGGUGAAAUGCGUAGAGAUCGGGAGGAC